Poecilia latipinna (sailfin molly) is the source of this 378-nucleotide long non-coding RNA. RefSeq lists it as uncharacterized. The record is from RefSeq and is a predicted model, not a curated record. The transcript has 3 exons. NCBI's taxonomy places the organism in Eukaryota, Metazoa, Chordata, Actinopteri, Cyprinodontiformes, Poeciliidae.
GCGUGUCCGUGUCCUGGAGGAGACAACAGGUUGAUGAAGACAUUCUGAGGAAAACCUUUUCUCUCUGCCGGGACGUUUCUGUGGAGGAACAGGAAUCAGCCCUGGACCAAUCAGAGUGCAGCGUUUUGUCACAGCGAGGCCGACGCCUCGACGUGUUGCUGUGCCGUCGCCGUGGCAACGGGCUCAGCGGAUAAUCCCGUCAGAUGCCUGAGUGUUUGCACAUGGAUGGCCUCCACCAGCUGGCGCCACAAUCCGCUGGGGACGGCGGGACGUCCCUCCGCUGGACGCCCGGGGACAGAGGGACAGGAGGACGACCUUUGACCCCUCCACUCAGGUGAGGCCUGCUGCUCGUCAGGUCAGACCUGAAUCUCCAUUUCC